This 649-nucleotide long non-coding RNA is filed under the name Elaeis guineensis (African oil palm). Its description in RNAcentral is "long non-coding RNA (EGUI_LNC017016)". The record is from RNAcentral. Lineage: Eukaryota; Viridiplantae; Streptophyta; Magnoliopsida; Arecales; Arecaceae.
AUCCGAUGUUUGAUGCCGGGGCCGAUGAAUGAGUUUUUAACUGGCCAUCUGGAGCUUGUGAUGUAGCCUAGGAGAUGUUUCAAGUAAGUCAGAAAUGUUUAAUUUUUAAGUUUACGAUAUAUUUGUAUUCUACUUAUUAAUACAUACUUUGAUUUUAUCUUAUAAGAGUGCUACCAAUUCGAGACUCCUCAAGAUAAGGAGACUGACCAUCGAACCUUUGAUGAGGUGGCCAUACAGAGACUUCGAGAUGGCCUCUACAGCUUCAGAUAGUGCACCAUCAAGCAUUUCGGUUCUCAGUCACCAUUGGACUGGAGAUCUUAUAGAGAUCAUUGGAUGCGGACGGAUGUAUGGGAGGCCCUCUACAAUUAGUGGAGCAGCGAAGAAUACUCUAGUAGGCGACAGAAGGCCCGACAGAAUUAGAUUUUCCAGCAGGUCAGAUCAUAUCAGGCACACGGAUGACUCUGUUGGCACACAUGUUGUGGCUGACAGAUUGGUAAGAAAUCUAUAUCAAAACUCUUGAGUAGAACUAUAAAUAUUUAUAUAUAUAUUUUUUAAUUAAUUUAAUUUUAUUAUUUACUAUUAUAGAUAUGACAGCUAGGCUAUCCACCAAGCCAGCUGUGGUUGUGGGAGGCCACACACCAGUCCAGGA